GACGAACGCUGGCGGCGUGCCUAAUACAUGCAAGUUGAGCGCUGAAGGUUGGUACUUGUACCAACUGGAUGAGCAGCGAACGGGUGAGUAACGCGUGGGGAAUCUGCCUUUGAGCGGGGGACAACAUUUGGAAACGAAUGCUAAUACCGCAUAAAAACUUUAAACACAAGUUUUAAGUUUGAAAGAUGCAAUUGCAUCACUCAAAGAUGAUCCCGCGUUGUAUUAGCUAGUUGGUGAGGUAAAGGCUCACCAAGGCGAUGAUACAUAGCCGACCUGAGGGGGUGAUCGGCCACAUUGGGACUGAGACACGGCCCAAACUCCUACGGGAGGCAGCAGUAGGGAAUCUUCGGCAAUGGACGAAAGUCUGACCGAGCAACGCCGCGUGAGUGAAGAAGGUUUUCGGAUCGUAAAACUCUGUUGGUAGAGAAGAACGUUGGUGAGAGUGGAAAGCUCAUCAAGUGACGGUAACUACCCAGAAAGGGACGGCUAACUACGUG
Molecule: ribosomal RNA, 497 nt
Filed under: uncultured bacterium
Lineage: Bacteria
Description: partial 16S ribosomal RNA
Rfam family: Bacterial small subunit ribosomal RNA
Source: RNAcentral